UCACCCAUAGCGCCGAGCUCCAUCCAAUGGGUGAGGGACCCCGGAAUGUGGAUGGAGGCGGGGGACCCACCGGUCCGCCGAAUCGGGGUCGCAUGCGACUCCUUGGGGUGAAGCCGGCGUCGGCUCUUCGGCAUCGAUCGAAGACGACGCUGGCCGGGUGGCCUCUCCAACCCGAACCCGACAGCUGACCUCGCAGGCGCGUGCAGAGAGGAAUU
This 215-nucleotide small RNA is filed under the name Mycobacterium sherrisii. RNAcentral's name for it is "c-di-AMP sequence". It matches the Rfam family "c-di-AMP riboswitch aptamer (ydaO/yuaA leader)". Rfam says of the family: This family represents a conserved RNA structure found upstream of the ydaO and yuaA genes in Bacillus subtilis and related genes in other bacteria. The ydaO/yuaA element is thought to act as a genetic "off" switch for the ydaO and yuaA genes in its native state. Lineage: Bacteria; Bacillati; Actinomycetota; Actinomycetes; Mycobacteriales; Mycobacteriaceae. The record is from Rfam by way of RNAcentral.